ACUCAUUUACAUUUGAGUCAGGGCCUUUUCAUUUUACCAACAAAUUCAACUAGCUAAACUAAGACUUACAAGCACAAAAGAAUCAGCAUUGCAAUUAAAAUUCAGUUUAAACUCGAACAUUUAUACAAGUAUAUAAGGCACAAUUCGUCGCCUCACAUAGACUACUCCCUUUAACAGGGGCUGGUAUUAAGCUCCAAGGAACACAUAAGACCAAAAAGAUAUAACAAAACAGCUAAUAAGUCCAAGAAAAAUGGCGAAUAUCUAAUCAUAGCAAUCUAUGCACUAAACAGU
Molecule: long non-coding RNA, 291 nt
Filed under: Trifolium pratense (red clover)
Lineage: Eukaryota; Viridiplantae; Streptophyta; Magnoliopsida; Fabales; Fabaceae
Description: long non-coding RNA (TPRA_LNC001501)
Source: RNAcentral